RNAcentral lists this non-coding RNA (212 nucleotides) under Thomasclavelia spiroformis. Its description in RNAcentral is "Clostridium spiroforme T-box sequence". It matches the Rfam family "T-box leader". From Rfam's summary of the family: Uncharged tRNA acts as the effector for transcription antitermination of genes in the T-box leader family. T-boxes are found upstream of many aminoacyl-tRNA synthetase genes and some amino acid biosynthetic genes usually in Gram-positive bacteria. Lineage: Bacteria; Bacillati; Bacillota; Erysipelotrichia; Erysipelotrichales; Coprobacillaceae. The record is from RNAcentral.
GACAACUCGAUGACUAAAAGAGUAGUUUUGAUGAUGAUUUUUAGCGAGCUAAUGGUGGUGGAAGAUUAGUAAUAUAGUCAAAAUGAAGCGCAUUUACGAGAGGAAAGUGGGAAAUUAUAGUAUCACUUUCGGGUAAUCGCCCUUAACGAUGAAAGAGAUCAUAAGGUCAACUUAUGAUAAAUAGAGUGGUAACGCGGUAAUUCGUCUCUUGU